RNAcentral lists this ribosomal RNA (500 nucleotides) under uncultured bacterium. Its description in RNAcentral is "partial 16S ribosomal RNA". It matches the Rfam family "Bacterial small subunit ribosomal RNA", at positions 30 to 523 of the family's 1533-position model. The record is from RNAcentral.
AUUGAACGCUGGCGGAAUGCUUUACACAUGCAAGUCGAACGAUGAACCUUAGCUUGCUAAGGGGAUUAGUGGCGAACGGGUGAGUAAUGUAUCGGAACGUAUCCAAUAAUGGGGGAUAACUAGUCGAAAGAUUAGCUAAUACCGCAUACGUCCUACGGGAGAGAGCUAGGGACCUCCGGGCCUGGCGUUAAUGGAGCGGCCGAUAUCUGAUUAGCUAGUUGGUGGGGUAAAGGCUCACCAAGGCGACGAUCAGUAGCUGGUCUGAGAGGACGACCAGCCACACUGGAGCUGAGACACGGUCCAGACUCCUACGGGAGGCAGCAGUGGGGAAUUUUGGACAAUGGGCGAAAGCCUGAUCCAGCCAUUCCGCGUGAGUGAAGAAGGCCUUCGGGUUGUAAAGCUCUUUCGCAAGGGAAGAAAACUUAAGCUCUAACAUAGCUUGAGGUUGACGGUACCUUGAUAAGAAGCACCGGCUAACUACGUGCCAGCCGCCGCCGUAA